RNAcentral lists this long non-coding RNA (770 nucleotides) under Numida meleagris (helmeted guineafowl). RNAcentral describes it as "lncRNA (ENSNMEG00000000544.1)". Lineage: Eukaryota; Metazoa; Chordata; Aves; Galliformes; Numididae. The record is from RNAcentral.
AAUAUAAAAUUGUCAGGUCUCACAUCAUUCAUUCAUUCAUUUCAAGCUAAAGAAUAAGUCUACCUUGAAUCUAUCUUUCAUACUUCAGCUUUGUUUUGUUUCUUCAAGAGAAGCGUUGAGGAGAGCUAAUUUCAGUUAUUCCUGACAUUUUGAAUGACCGUUCUUUUCCUCUUGGGAAUGGUACCCGGAUGUAUAAUUAGAAAGUUAAAGUGGCUCAGCUAAAGAUAAGGAUGCUGUGAACUUCACUUUUACAAUUCCUACCUUGGCCUCCCAGCCCAGCUGAUUUAAUGGGAAAGAGCCUGCCAUGGUCAUCAAUAUUCAGCAGGGAGAGAAGAAGGGGACAGAAGGACAACAGUAAAGGUCAGUAGCCUGGGCAGGAGGUGGGACUGCAUCGUUGGAGGAAAGCAGGAGUUGUUCAGGGAUGUGUUCAGGGGGAAACUGAGACGGGCGAUCAGCAUGCGUGCAGGGAGGAAGGUGAUCCCAGCCCGAAGUAAGUGGGCUCACCCAGCGCCAUAGAGAGAAGCAUACAGCUUCUUUUGGAAACAGACUCUGAGAGCUGCCGAGCUGAGGCUGCGAUGAUGUGCAAAUAAUACGUAUCAUAAAUACAGCGCCAGCCGAGACGGGGGGAGUUGGAGACCCAGGAAUGUCGAGGCAGGCAACGAGAUGUCACCUUGGCAGAGGUGGGCAUCGUCCUGUGUUCAUGCCCUGGGGCAUCACUGCCGUCCUUCCUCUGUGCUAGGACCCUGAGGACACUUGGCUGCCUGCUGGUC